Long non-coding RNA from Trifolium pratense (red clover), 464 nucleotides. RefSeq lists it as uncharacterized. The transcript is spliced from 2 exons. NCBI's taxonomy places the organism in Eukaryota, Viridiplantae, Streptophyta, Magnoliopsida, Fabales, Fabaceae. The record is from RefSeq and is a predicted model, not a curated record.
AGGUUAGUCAGGACACGAGAGAAGAGGCUCCCAUGUCAAUCAGUGUGAAGUUAGGGGAUAUCCACAAUAUAUUUCACCGAAUUGUAACUGCUGCUGAGCACCCUCAUUUAAGUAUUGCAAAAAUUGAAGCUGGAAUAACCCGCAAGCUGUACCACAAACUCAUAGAUCGAUCUCUUAUGCUUGUUUCAGUUGUACUUGGAGCGGCCGUGGUGGUUGGGGUGGGUGCUGCAAGGAAGAAUGUGUCAUGAUCUGCAUGCAGGCUGCUCUUGGCUAACCUACACUAACUUUAUAGAUUCUUUUUUUUUUUUUAAUAUCUAACUUUAUAAAUUCUAGUUAUAUAUUUUAUUUUAAUAUUUAUUUUGGUAGCUUGUUAUAGUUCACAUAACACUGUUUUUCUGUAUAUCAGUAUCACCGUAGUGGUUGUAUAUAUAAAUCAUAGGGAAAUGGUCUGGUUGGAUAAACAA